Long non-coding RNA from Choloepus didactylus (southern two-toed sloth), 314 nucleotides. RefSeq lists it as uncharacterized. NCBI's taxonomy places the organism in Eukaryota, Metazoa, Chordata, Mammalia, Pilosa, Megalonychidae. The transcript has 3 exons. The record is from RefSeq and is a predicted model, not a curated record.
UGAAAUAGAAUCCUCUCCCCAGAAUGUUCCCUUGGGCUGAUCCCAGACAAGCAGGAGGAGUUUGGGCAGAGCUGGGGUCAUCACAGCUGCGAGAAGGGGCCCGAGCCCAGGGAGAGGACUCCCGAGGAACAAAAGCACCCCUAACAUGGUCACGCCCUUCUAACAAGUGAUUCCAGAGAUCCAGCGGGACCCCGACUACAAACCUGGGUGCUGCCUUCCUCCGUGGGAGUUGACCGAGGUGGGAGAGCACCAGGGGAAGGGGCUGCACCGGGCAGCCAUAUACCCCAGAGGUUCCAGAACCUUUCCCAUGGCUU